CAUAUGCAGAAUCAGAGUGACUCAGGCCCUAUAGACCUCACAGUGAACAUACUCACAAUGGGCUACUGGCCAACGUACACGCCCAUGGAAGUGCACUUAACCCCAGAAAUGAUUAAACUUCAGGAAGUAUUUAAGGCAUUUUAUCUUGGAAAGCACAGUGGUCGAAAACUUCAAUGGCAAACUACUUUGGGACAUGCUGUUUUAAAAGCAGAGUUUAAAGAAGGGAAGAAGGAAUUCCAGGUGUCCCUCUUCCAGACACUGGUGCUCCUCAUGUUCAACGAGGGAGAUGGCUUCAGCUUUGAGGAGAUAAAAAUGGCCACGGGGAUAGAGGAUAGUGAAUUGCGCAGAACGCUGCAGUCGCUGGCCUGUGGCAAAGCACGUGUGCUGAUUAAAAGUCCCAAAGGAAAGGAAGUGGAAGAUGGAGACAAGUUCAUUUUUAAUGGAGAGUUCAAGCACAAGUUGUUUAGAAUAAAGAUCAAUCAGAUUCAGAUGAAGGAAACUCCUGGAGAUUUGAAAAAGAGGAUUGAAUCUCUGAUAGACAGAGACUAUAUGGAGAGAGACAAAGAGAAUCCGA
RNAcentral lists this small RNA (574 nucleotides) under Pongo abelii (Sumatran orangutan). RNAcentral describes it as "processed transcript". The record is from RNAcentral. Lineage: Eukaryota; Metazoa; Chordata; Mammalia; Primates; Hominidae.